Molecule: long non-coding RNA, 355 nt
Organism: Oncorhynchus tshawytscha (Chinook salmon)
Lineage: Eukaryota; Metazoa; Chordata; Actinopteri; Salmoniformes; Salmonidae
Source: Ensembl
CUUUACCUAGCAGAGACUUGAUGAGUGACUUGUUUUGUUUUGAUUACAAUCACGCCUUACCUGUUAACACGUGAUAGCACUGUGUUGUCUGGGAAAAGACUGGGCGAGUUUGCUUUGCAUGCUAUGCUAGCAUAGUUUAACGCAAGGUCAGGGACAAGCUAUGCUAGCUAGCUGCUGUCAGCUUGGCUAAACACAAGGUCAGGGACAAGCUAUGCUAGGUAGCUGCUGUCAGCUUGGCUAAACACAAGGUCAGGGACAAGUUAUGCUAGGUAGCUGCUGUCAGCUUGGCUAAACACAUGGUCAGGGCCAAGCUAUGCUAGCUAGCUGCUGUCAGCUUGGCUAAACACAAGGUCAG